Molecule: ribosomal RNA, 864 nt
Filed under: Staphylococcus aureus
Lineage: Bacteria; Bacillati; Bacillota; Bacilli; Caryophanales; Staphylococcaceae
Description: partial 23S ribosomal RNA
Rfam family: Bacterial large subunit ribosomal RNA
Source: RNAcentral
GAUGGAUAACAGGUUGAUAUUCCUGUACCACCUAUAAUCGUUUUAAUCGAUGGGGGGACGCAGUAGGAUAGGCGAAGCGUGCGAUUGGAUUGCACGUCUAAGCAGUAAGGCUGAGUAUUAGGCAAAUCCGGUACUCGUUAAGGCUGAGCUGUGAUGGGGAGAAGACAUUGUGUCUUCGAGUCGUUGAUUUCACACUGCCGAGAAAAGCCUCUAGAUAGAAAAUAGGUGCCCGUACCGCAAACCGACACAGGUAGUCAAGAUGAGAAUUCUAAGGUGAGCGAGCGAACUCUCGUUAAGGAACUCGGCAAAAUGACCCCGUAACUUCGGGAGAAGGGGUGCUCUUUAGGGUUAACGCCCAGAAGAGCCGCAGUGAAUAGGCCCAAGCGACUGUUUAUCAAAAACACAGGUCUCUGCUAAACCGUAAGGUGAUGUAUAGGGGCUGACGCCUGCCCGGUGCUGGAAGGUUAAGAGGAGUGGUUAGCUUCUGCGAAGCUACGAAUCGAAGCCCCAGUAAACGGCGGCCGUAACUAUAACGGUCCUAAGGUAGCGAAAUUCCUUGUCGGGUAAGUUCCGACCCGCACGAAAGGCGUAACGAUUUGGGCACUGUCUCAACGAGAGACUCGGUGAAAUCAUAGUACCUGUGAAGAUGCAGGUUACCCGCGACAGGACGGAAAGACCCCGUGGAGCUUUACUGUAGCCUGAUAUUGAAAUUCGGCACAGCUUGUACAGGAUAGGUAGGAGCCUUUGAAACGUGAGCGCUAGCUUACGUGGAGGCGCUGGUGGGAUACUACCCUAGCUGUGUUGGCUUUCUAACCCGCACCACUUAUCGUGGUGGGAGACAGUGUCAGGCGGGCAGUUUGACUG